This is a small nucleolar RNA of Impatiens glandulifera, 85 nucleotides long. RefSeq annotates it as small nucleolar RNA R38. Lineage: Eukaryota; Viridiplantae; Streptophyta; Magnoliopsida; Ericales; Balsaminaceae. The transcript has a single exon. The record is from RefSeq and is a predicted model, not a curated record.
UAUAGAGGAUGAUGAUACAUAUAAAUCACAGUUAUCCCUGUCUGAUUUUUUGAAUUUGAUGAAUUCUUUGUGAUCUGACUCAAAU